GGUGAGAUGGCCGAGCGGUCUAAGGCGCCAGACUAAGGUUUCAAUCUUUAUAUCUGGUCUCUUCGGGGGCGGGAGUUCGAAUCUCCCUCUCAUCA
Molecule: transfer RNA, 95 nt
Filed under: Termitomyces sp. T159_Od127
Lineage: Eukaryota; Fungi; Basidiomycota; Agaricomycetes; Agaricales; Lyophyllaceae
Description: tRNA-Leu
Rfam family: tRNA
About the family: Transfer RNA (tRNA) molecules are approximately 80 nucleotides in length. Their secondary structure includes four short double-helical elements and three loops (D, anti-codon, and T loops).
Source: RNAcentral